RNAcentral lists this ribosomal RNA (415 nucleotides) under uncultured beta proteobacterium. RNAcentral describes it as "bacterial SSU rRNA". It matches the Rfam family "Bacterial small subunit ribosomal RNA", at positions 9 to 429 of the family's 1533-position model. Lineage: Bacteria; Pseudomonadati; Pseudomonadota; Betaproteobacteria. The record is from RNAcentral.
GAGUUUGAUCUUGGCUCAGAUUGAACGCUGGCGGAAUGCUUUACACAUGCAAGUCGAGCGGCAGCGCGGGGCAACCUGGCGGCGAGCGGCGAACGGGUGAGUAAUGCAUCGGAACAUGUCCAUGUCGUGGGGGAUAGCCCGGCGAAAGCCGGAUUAAUACCGCAUACGCCCGAGAGGGGAAAGUGGGGACCGCAAGGCCUCACGCGAUUGGGUUGGCCGAUGUCCGAUUAGCUAGUUGGCGGGGUAAUGGCCCACCAAGGCGAUGAUCGGUAGCUGGUCUGAGAGGAUGAUCAGCCACACUGGGACUGAGACACGGCCCAGACUCCUACGGGAGGCAGCAGUGGGGAAUUUUGGACAAUGGGGGCAACCCUGAUCCAGCCAUUCCGCGUGAGUGAAGAAGGCCUUCGGUUGUAAG